CUGACCUUGACGGUACCUAACCAGAAAGCCACGGCUAACUACGUGCCAGCAGCCGCGGUAAUACGUAGGUGGCAAGCGUUGUCCGGAUUUAUUGGGCGUAAAGCGCUCGCAGGCGGUCUUUUAAGUCUGAUGUGAAAGCCCACGGCUUAACCGUGGAGGGUCAUUGGAAACUGGAGGACUUGAGUGCAGAAGAGGAGAGUGGAAUUCCAUGUGUAGCGGUGAAAUGCGUAGAGAUAUGGAGGAACACCAGUGGCGAAGGCGACUCUCUGGUCUGUAACUGACGCUGAGGAGCGAAAGCGUGGGUAGCGAACAGGAUUAGAUACCCUGGUAGUCCACGCCGUAAACGAUGAGUGCUAGGUGUUAGGGGGUUUCCGCCCCUUAGUGCUGAAGUUAACGCAUUAAGCACUCCGCCUGGGGAGUACGGCCGCAAGGCUGAAACUCAAAAGAAUUGACGGGGACCCGCACAAGCGGUGGAGCAUGUGGUUUAAUUCGAAGCAACGCGAAGAACCUUACCAGGUCUUGACAUCCUUUCGCCCUCCCUAGAGAUAGGGAUUUCCCUUCGGGGACGAAAGUGACAGGUGGUGCAUGGUUGUCGUCAGCUCGUGUCGUGAGAUGUUGGG
RNAcentral lists this ribosomal RNA (620 nucleotides) under uncultured Oceanobacillus sp. Its description in RNAcentral is "bacterial SSU rRNA". It matches the Rfam family "Bacterial small subunit ribosomal RNA", at positions 463 to 1079 of the family's 1533-position model. Lineage: Bacteria; Bacillati; Bacillota; Bacilli; Caryophanales; Bacillaceae. The record is from RNAcentral.